RNAcentral lists this ribosomal RNA (738 nucleotides) under Zhihengliuella halotolerans. Its description in RNAcentral is "bacterial SSU rRNA". It matches the Rfam family "Bacterial small subunit ribosomal RNA", at positions 63 to 814 of the family's 1533-position model. Lineage: Bacteria; Bacillati; Actinomycetota; Actinomycetes; Micrococcales; Micrococcaceae. The record is from RNAcentral.
CGAACGAUGAAGCCCAGCUUGCUGGGUGGAUUAGUGGCGAACGGGUGAGUAACACGUGAGUAACCUGCCCUCGACUCCAGGAUAAGCCCGGGAAACUGGGUCUAAUACUGGAUAUUCAAUUUCCAUCGCAUGGUGGUUUUUGGAAAGGAUUCUGGUCGAGGAGGGACUCGCGGCCUAUCAGCUUGUUGGUGAGGUAAUGGCUCACCAAGGCGACGACGGGUAGCCGGCCUGAGAGGGUGACCGGCCACACUGGGACUGAGACACGGCCCAGACUCCUACGGGAGGCAGCAGUGGGGAAUAUUGCACAAUGGGCGAAAGCCUGAUGCAGCGACGCCGCGUGAGGGAUGACGGCCUUCGGGUUGUAAACCUCUUUCAGUAGGGAAGAAGCGAAAGUGACGGUACCUGCAGAAGAAGCGCCGGCUAACUACGUGCCAGCAGCCGCGGUAAUACGUAGGGCGCAAGCGUUAUCCGGAAUUAUUGGGCGUAAAGAGCUCGUAGGCGGUUUGUCGCGUCUGCCGUGAAAGUCCGGGGCUUAACUCCGGAUCUGCGGUGGGUACGGGCAGACUAGAGUGCUGUAGGGGAGACUGGAAUUCCUGGUGUAGCGGUGAAAUGCGCAGAUAUCAGGAGGAACACCGAUGGCGAAGGCAGGUCUCUGGGCAGUAACUGACGCUGAGGAGCGAAAGCAUGGGGAGCGAACAGGAUUAGAUACCCUGGUAGUCCAUGCCGUAAACGUUGGGC